Molecule: ribosomal RNA, 497 nt
Filed under: uncultured bacterium
Lineage: Bacteria
Description: partial 16S ribosomal RNA
Rfam family: Bacterial small subunit ribosomal RNA
Source: RNAcentral
GAUGAACGCUGGCGGCGUGCCUAAUACAUGCAAGUCGAGCGAACGGACGAGAAGCUUGCUUCUCUGAUGUUAGCGGCAGACGGGUGAGUAACACGUGGAUAACCUACCUAUAAGACUGGGAUAACUUCGGGAAACCGGAGCUAAUACCGGAUAAUAUUUUGAACCGCAUGGUUCAAAAGUGAAAGACGGCCUUGCUGUCACUUAUAGAUGGAUCCGCGCUGCAUUAGCUAGUUGGUAAGGUAACGGCUUACCAAGGCAACGAUGCAUAGCCGACCUGAGAGGGUGAUCGGCCACACUGGAACUGAGACACGGUCCAGACUCCUACGGGAGGCAGCAGUAGGGAAUCUUCCGCAAUGGGCGAAAGCCUGACGGAGCAACGCCGCGUGAGUGAUGAAGGUCUUCGGAUCGUAAAACUCUGUUAUUAGGGAAGAACAUAUGUGUAAGUAACUGUGCACAUCUUGACGGUACCUAAUCAGAAAGCCACGGCUAACUACGUG